This 497-nucleotide ribosomal RNA is filed under the name uncultured bacterium. Its description in RNAcentral is "partial 16S ribosomal RNA". It matches the Rfam family "Bacterial small subunit ribosomal RNA", at positions 28 to 507 of the family's 1533-position model. The record is from RNAcentral.
GAUGAACGCUGGCGGCGUGCCUAAUACAUGCAAGUCGAGCGAACGGACGAUAAGCUUGCUUCUCUGAUGUUAGCGGCGGACGGGUGAGUAACACGUGUAUAACCUACCUAUAAGACUGGGAUAACUUCGGGAAUCCGGCUCUAAUACCGUAUGAUAUUUUGAUCCGCAUGGUUCGAAAGUGAAAGACGGUCGUUCUGUCACUUAUCGCUGGAUCCGCGCUGCAUUAGCUAGUUGGUGAGUUAACGGCUUACCAAGGCAACGAUGCAUGGCCGACCUGAGAGGGUGAUAGGCCGCACUAGAACUGAGACACGGUCCAGAGUCCUACGAGAGGCAGCAGUAGCGAAUCUUCCGCAAUGGGCGAAAGCAUGACGGAGCAACGCCGCGUGAGAGAUGACGGUGCUCGGAUCGUAAAACUCUGUUAUUAGGGAAGAACAUAUGUGUAAGUAACUGUGCACAUCUUGACGGUAACUAAUAAGAAAGCCACGGCUAACUACGUG